RNAcentral lists this ribosomal RNA (497 nucleotides) under uncultured bacterium. RNAcentral's name for it is "partial 16S ribosomal RNA". It matches the Rfam family "Bacterial small subunit ribosomal RNA", at positions 28 to 507 of the family's 1533-position model. The record is from RNAcentral.
GUUGAACGCUGGCGGCGUGCCUAACACAUGCAAGUCGAGCGAACAGAUGAGGAGUUUGCUUCUCUGACGUUACCGGCGGACGGGUGAGGAAUACGUGGAUAACUUACCUAUAAGACUGGGAUAACUUCGGGAGACCGGAUCUAACAUCGGAUAAUAUAUUGAACCGCAUGGUUCAUUAGUGAAAGCGGUUUUUGCUGUCACUUAUAGAUGUUUCCGGGCCGCAUUAGCUAGUUGGUAAGGUAACGGCUUACCAAGGCAACGAUGCGUAGCCGACCUGAGAGGGUGAUCGGCCACACUGGAACUGAGACACGGUCCAGACUCCUACGGGAGGCAGCAGUAGGGAAUAUUCGACAAUGGGCGAAAGCCUGACGGAGCAACGCCGCGUGAGUGAAGAAGGUCUUCGGAUCGUAAAACUCUGUUAUUAGGGAGGAACAAAAGUGUAAGUAACUAUGGACGUCUUGACGGUACCUAAACAGAAAGCCACGGCUAACUACGUG